AUUGAACGCUGGCGGCAGGGCUAACACAUGCAAGUCGAGCGGCAGCGGGCCUUCGGGUGCCGGCGAGCGGCGGACGGGUGAGGAACGCGUGGGAAUCUGCCUAUAGGUGGGGGAUAGCCCGGAGAAAUCCGGAUUAAUACCGCAUAAUACCUGAGGGUUAAAAGGAGAAUCGCAAGACUUCGUGCCUAUAGAUGAGCCCACGUCAGAUUAGCUAGUUGGUAGGGUAAAGGCCUACCAAGGCGACGAUCUGUAGCUGGCCUGAGAGGGUGGCCAGCCACACUGGAACUGAGACACGGUCCAGACUCCUACGGGAGGCAGCAGUGGGGAAUAUUGGACGAUGGGCGCAAGCCUGAUCCAGCCAUGCCGCGUGUGUGAAGAAGGCCUUCGGGUUGUAAAGCACUUUAAGUUGGGAGGAAGGUUCGAUGGCUAAUAUCCAUCGGAAUUGACGUUACCAACAGAGUAAGCACCGGCUAAUUCCGUGCCAGCCGCCGCCGUAA
RNAcentral lists this ribosomal RNA (497 nucleotides) under uncultured bacterium. RNAcentral describes it as "partial 16S ribosomal RNA". It matches the Rfam family "Bacterial small subunit ribosomal RNA", at positions 30 to 523 of the family's 1533-position model. The record is from RNAcentral.